AGUAACCUGCCUUGGAGUGGGGAAUAACAGCUGGAAACAGCUUAGCUAAUACCGCAUAAUAUGUCUGAAUCGCAUGGUUCUGGACAUCAAAGAUUUAUCGCUCUGAGAUGGACUCGCGUCUGAUUAGCUGGUUGGCGGGGUAACGGCCCACCAAGGCGACGAUCAGUAGCCGGACUGAGAGGUUGGCCGGCCACAUUGGGACUGAGACACGGCCCAGACUCCUACGGAAGGCAGCAG
RNAcentral lists this ribosomal RNA (237 nucleotides) under uncultured bacterium. RNAcentral describes it as "partial 16S ribosomal RNA". It matches the Rfam family "Bacterial small subunit ribosomal RNA", at positions 120 to 354 of the family's 1533-position model. The record is from RNAcentral.